Molecule: ribosomal RNA, 216 nt
Filed under: Glomeromycotina sp.
Lineage: Eukaryota; Fungi; Glomeromycota
Description: partial small subunit ribosomal RNA
Rfam family: Eukaryotic small subunit ribosomal RNA (bases 40-216)
Source: RNAcentral
GGGUCAGUAGGUUGGUCGUGCCACCGGUACGUACUGGUCUCACUGAUUCCUCCUUCCUGAAGAACCGUAAUGCCAUUAAUUUGGUGUUGCGGGGAAACAGGACUGUUACUUUGAAAAAAUUAGAGUGUUUAAAGCAAGCUAAUGCUUGAAUACAUUAGCAUGGAAUAAUGAAAUAGGACGAUCGAUCCUAUUUUGUUGGUUUCUAGGAUUGACGUG